GAAACGAAGAAACUUACUGAAAGUGCAGAAAUUAGAAUCAAUAAUCUAAAGAGUGAGCUGAGUCGACAGAAACUUCAUACCCAAGAGCUGCUUUCUCAGCUGGAAAUGGCAAAUGAAAAGGUAGCUGAGAAUGAAAAGCUAAUUCUAGAGCAUCAAGAAAAAGCCAACAGACUUCAAAGGCGUCUAAGUCAGGCAGAAGAGAGAGCUGCUUCAGCUUCCCAGCAGACAAUCAAAGCCUACCUCAGACUAGAACACAUCAUCUAAUGGAGUUCUGAGCAUUAAAGGGAAAUCAUAUUGAAGAUUUCAACCUUGAAGUUAAUUGUGAAGUUUGUUGCAGAUGGCUAAUGCUUCAAAGCAUAACUUGGAACAUUUGAAAGCUUUUCAACCUAAAUGUGGGGAAAAAACAGGAAUCCAUUCAUGUUGGAAGCCCAGAUUCCCUAACAUAUGCACUAGUGGUUGGCUCUGGGAAGUAACAGUCACCAGAGUCUGGAAGUUCUUCGCUUGAACUUGAGUAGCCACUGUACUAUUGGAAGCCAGAUGGCCAGAGCUCUCCUCUAGCAAACCCAAUGACGAGCCCAAAGGGCUUCCGCAUCAUCUCUGUUGCAUCAAGAAGCCAAGAUGCUUCUCCUGAUAAUGUCUGUCCUUCUGCUGAUAGUGCUGCUGGGAAAGGAAUGAGAGUGAAGUGGCAGCCUUGGGAAUGACAUGGCUACCCACCACAUCAGCAACUGUGUCUU
This 734-nucleotide long non-coding RNA is filed under the name Homo sapiens (human). RNAcentral describes it as "non-protein coding lnc-SCLT1-4:1". The record is from RNAcentral. Lineage: Eukaryota; Metazoa; Chordata; Mammalia; Primates; Hominidae.